Labeo rohita (rohu) is the source of this 4087-nucleotide RNA transcript. It is a transcript of the gene named zinc finger protein 526-like, with no coding region annotated. NCBI's taxonomy places the organism in Eukaryota, Metazoa, Chordata, Actinopteri, Cypriniformes, Cyprinidae. The transcript has 5 exons. The record is from RefSeq and is a predicted model, not a curated record.
GAAACAGAAGAGGACCACCGAGAAGACGACAAGUUGAAGAAAUUGUUUAUGUUGUUUUUAAUCGUCAAAAGGUUAAGAAGUUGUUUGCCAUGUCGUACGGUAUAAGAAGAAAUGUGAGGCAUAGGAGGACCUUGGAAAAUUGACUGGAGAAGGAGGGGGGCCCGGAGUAAAAAAGCAUCCUACGCAUUUUCAGUCCAAACCUGAUGCAGAACAGUUCUGCCGGGACAAGGGGUUUGAAUGUCCCUGCUGCAGUUUCACCACUAAAGAAAAGUUCUCUUUUACAUUUCACAUGGAGAACCACAUAAGCCAUGCAGUGGAGCAUGAAGGUAUAGUGUUACUUCAUCUCAAAAUGCAAUAAACUGUGCAGGACCACAGCUCAUUUUCACUGUCUUUACUGCAGCCAGACAGUAAUACGCAAGGACCAAUACAUACAGCAUGUUUCCAAAUGCUCCAAGGCAGAAGCAUUGUCAUCACCAUCACCACCUCCAUCUCCCUCUGUAGAUGCGUGCCCGACACCCCCACCCCCACCCCCAUCCACUUUUGUUACCGAAUCUCCAGUCUCUACCCCCUUUUCCUCUGAUCCUGACUCCUUUGCAUCACCUCCAAAAAUUCAAAGGAAGAGAGAGACAGUCACGUGUUUUCAUUGUGGAAUGUCACUUAACAAAAAAAAUGUAAAGCUGCAUAUUCUGAGACGACAUACACCAAGAAAAAUGGACAUUACCUCUCAGAACCACCUUAAGUCACAGUGUGUGGAUUAUACAAAUGGUGUCUAUGCGGUAGCCAAAUCAUUUUCAGCACCCAGCACUCCGAUCCAUGUCAUCAAAAAGACGUGGGGCUUGGAACAAAGAACAACAUGUGAACUUGACGCCUGCAGAAUUAACACAGAAUUUGCAGAAAGAUCAAACAUCCGUUCCUAUGAGUGCCAUCAUCUUCGAUCGCUUGCAUACUGUCCACCGGCUGAAAGGGACAUUCCCUUACUGACAGAGCAAGCUUUACAGACUAUAGUUGAUGAUCAUUGGAUUGGGGAGGACAAGAAGGACAGAUGUUUGGCAUGGCAGAGAGAGGCAAUUGAUGCAGGAGUCCCUCUUUCUUGUCUAGUGAACAUUUGUGGACCCAGCCACAAAAAGUACAUUUCUGUGCUCGAGCCCACCAUUUCUUUCUACAGCAGGCUUGGUCGGGUCAUGGUUACAUAUGAUACCAAAACCAUUUCUUGGCUUUGCCCUUGUGCCAAACCAAAGCAGCCAUGCCUUCACAAAUAUGUUGCAAAGUGGCACCUGUUUGAAGUGGACAGGGAGCUCUUCCGGAAAACCACAAGUGAAGAAAGGAAGUGCAAUUGAGGUCUAGGAGAGGACCUCGGGUAAAGACUUUCCUUCAAAAACAAGGAUCAUGCAGGCCUACUUAAAGGGGAAAGGGCAUCUGUGCAGUUGAUACUAAUGUUGUUGCCACUUUUUGUCCACCUCAUCUUCAAGACAUUUUUGAGUAAGCACUUCUUUUUUUGUACCCAUUUCUACACAUUGUUGACUGAUGCAUGAAAUGCCAUUUGUGUUAUUCCUUUUAUAAUGGCCUUUUUUUUGUGUGUUGGCUUUCUUAUUUAUAUUUGAAGUGGGUGCUUUUGGUGUGAUAUUGGGGCAACUUUGCUAAAUUUGGAUUUAGUCACAGUAUCUUUGUUAAAUGUGCAAUGCAAAUAGCAAAAUGACCCUGCAGAGAAAUGCGUUGUUUUUGGGUUUUUUUUUUUCAUUAUCACAUAUAGGAUGAUGCAGCAUCGAAGGACAAAUCUUUGAAUUGCAAAUGGUUUCCGCUCUCUGACUUGUAAACAACUCCUAAUUAAUGUCAUUAACAUAUGUGACCCUGGACCACAAAACCAGUCUUAAGUCGCUAGGGUAUAUUUGUAGCAAUAGCCAAAAAUACAUUGUAUGGGUCAAAAUUACCCAGACCCUGACGUGACGCUAAGCACUUUUGCACAUCAAAUGCAUUUCUUACAAAUACAAGUAUUGGCAUGGAUUUAAGGGUACACACACUUUAUAAAUGAGGCCCCUGGACACUGGUUUCUCAACGUAAGUCUUUAGCUAAUAUGUAACUAUUACAAAUGUAACUGGUACAAUUGGUAGCACAGAGCCAAAUUUUUUGCAGGUGCAUGUAUUUUGGAAUGAAAACAAUAACAGUUUUUACAAAUAUUCUUUAAUGGAUGUGUAACUUGUUAGUUACUAUUCAAAAGUUCUACCUUUAAUUCAGAGGUAAGAGACAUGGCAUGUGAGCUCUUUAUCCAGCAUUGAGACUUGGCAGCAAAGAGCUGUUUUACUUUAAAACACACAUUUAUGGCCAGAGCUGUUCAUUAAUACACGUUAAAUGCAAGUAUGGUGUCUGGUUCUUAGCAAUGAAUUCCAUUAUCUUCCAAAUGACCAUCAAUUGUGUGACACCAGGUUGUGUCUGCUAUGUAAACCAAGACAUUGUGAAUCAAAUGCACAGAUGCUCAAGACUUCACAGGUCUUGCUUCCAAAGCAAUUUUAGAUUGAUCAACUUGAUUCAUCCAAUCCUAGAGGUGACAGUGCCUACUCAAAUUCUCUGAACUGUUCCACAAAUGAAAUUCUCUUCAUUGUGCAUGUUCUGAAAGUUGUGCAAGCUCUGAAAGUCAAACUUUCUUUCAAAGUGUUGGAAGCGCAAAAAUUUUUGCAAAUAGCAUUUAAGAAUUUGUAGAUAUUUUGAUUAGAACUAAAACAAAACAAAAUUAAGUAACUUAAGCCUUUUUUUUUUCUUUCUUUUUUUUUUUUUUUUUUUUUUUUUUUUUUUUUGCAGUGCAUGUCAUUUGGCUUAUUUAGGAAAUGUAUCUUGAUUUAAGAAUUUUUAGGUGUUUGGAUUAGAAAGACGAGUUAAAAAUACAAAAAUAAGCCUUUUUCUGCAGUGUGGAGAAAAGUCAGUGUUGUAUAGAUUCAAUUGACUCCGAUCUGUGUUCUUCACCACACCACUUUGCCUGGAGUGUUUUUAAGUUUGACAAAAUUGCUAAAUAUUUUAUUGUUGAAUAUUUUCUUCUAAAGCUCAGUUGCAGUACAGCUGCUUCCCAGCCCAUGAAAGAUCAUCAAAACCAAGGAACAAGAAUGCAAUUAUCAGUGUUUUUUCCAGUCCUUGUUCUGUAGAUUUAUGUAUGAAAAAAUAAAUUAAAUUUGCUUAUUUGAUAGAAUAUUCCAACCCAGACAGACUGACCGGACUGUGGUGUGUUCAUGCUGAUGGUAAGCUGUGAAUAUACAGCCUCUGCGCAGUUAUGGUGAUGGCAAAAGAUUUGUGUAAUUUGCAUGCAGUAUUUGAGAUGAAGAUGGUCCAGUGUUAUGUGUACUUAAAACAAAAGUACAGAACAGUUGGUGACAGUAAAUUCUAUUAUUUGCAUUUUCUCAAUGGUAUUUGUUGUCUUAGUAUGUACUCUAUAUGGCCCUGGACUGGACAUUUGACUUUAAUAUAUAUAAAAUUUACCUAACCUUUGAGUCUGUCUUUAGGUUGUCAAGAGUCCACCAUCACCAAACAGUCACCCAGUACAGAAAACUCUCCCACAAACACAACGUAUUUUCUAUUUUUAACAGAAGUGUGAAUAGAACCUGAAGUGGAAGUUCAUAAGAGACAUUGGUCUGUUUUUUUUCGUUUGUUUGUUUGUUUGUUUUAUAAAUAUAAAAAUACCCAAUGAAAUAAAGGAUCUUUUUAUUGAUCUUUACGUAUCUGAAAGACCUGGACACAUUUAUAUAAAGUGUUUAUGAACAAGGAACUGAAGGACAAUGAUAUAUUGCUUAACUUAUAUGAUCUAUCAAAGCAAGCAAUGUCUCUGACCUACUUAUGUGUUUCCACACAAGACAUGUACAAACAACAUGAACGUGUAAAUCAUGCAUGAUUGCUUGUGUAUAUAAUUAAAAGGAAAGAAAUAUACUUAAAACCAAAUGAACCGUAUACAUUUGCCAAAAUCACAGAAAAAAAAAUCACAUUAUAAUAUCACAUUUUAAUAUUGCAAGAUCACGUCACAACCCUAGAAGGUGUACUCAGUUACGAAUCGUGAUAUUAAAAUUAGCAAAGUAAUUAUUUUGAUUAAUUUGUACCUAAGUACAAGUAA